AUUGAACGCUGGCGGCAGGCCUAACACAUGCAAGUCGAGCGAGCGGCGGACGGGUGAGUAAUGUAUGGGGACUGCCCGAUAUAGGGGGAUAACUACUGGAAACGGUAGCUAAUACCGCAUACUAUCGGAUAACCCAUAUGGGAUUAGCUAGUAGGUGAGGUAAUGGCUCACCGAGGCGACGAGCCCUAGCUGGUCUGAGAGGAUGAUCAGCAAGACUAGGCCUGGGACACGGCCCGGGCUCCUAGGGGGGCAGGAGUGGGGAUUAUGACACAAUGGUGGGGAGCAUGAUGCAGCAAUGCCACGUGUGUGAAGAAGUCCUAGGGUUGUAAAGUACUUUCAGUCGGGAGGCGUUACCGAAAGAAGACGCACCGGCUAACUCCGUGCCAGCAGCCGCGGUAAUAC
RNAcentral lists this ribosomal RNA (402 nucleotides) under uncultured bacterium. RNAcentral describes it as "partial 16S ribosomal RNA". It matches the Rfam family "Bacterial small subunit ribosomal RNA", at positions 30 to 526 of the family's 1533-position model. The record is from RNAcentral.